AGCUUGCUCUUGAUGACGAGUGGCGCACGGGUGAGUAACGCGUAUGCAAUCUACCUAUAACUGAGGAAUAGCCCAGAGAAAUUUGGAUUAAUACUUCAUAAUAUUAUUAUUUGGCAUCAUUUAAUAAUUAAAACUCCGGUGGUUAUAGAUGAGCAUGCGUUCUAUUAGCUAGUUGGUGAGGUAAGAGCUCACCAAGGCUACGAUAGAUAGGGGGCCUGAAAGGGUGAUCCCCCACACUGGUACUGAGACACGGACCAGACUCCUACGGGAGGCAGCAGUGAGGAAUAUUGCACAAUGGAGGAAACUCUGAUGCAGCCAUGCCGCGUGCAGGAUGAAGGCCCUAUGGGUUGUAAACUGCUUUUUUACAAGAAGAAACCUUGGUACGUGUACCAACCUGACGGUAUUGUAAGAAUAAGCACCGGCUAACUCCGUGCCAGCAGCCGCGGUAAUACGGAGGGUGCAAGCGUUAUCCGGAUUUAUUAGGUUUAAAGGGUUCGCAGGCGGAAUUUUAAGUCAGUGGUGAAAGCCUA
This 530-nucleotide ribosomal RNA is filed under the name uncultured Bacteroidota bacterium. RNAcentral describes it as "bacterial SSU rRNA". It matches the Rfam family "Bacterial small subunit ribosomal RNA", at positions 77 to 604 of the family's 1533-position model. The record is from RNAcentral. Lineage: Bacteria; Pseudomonadati; Bacteroidota.